RNAcentral lists this ribosomal RNA (497 nucleotides) under uncultured bacterium. RNAcentral's name for it is "partial 16S ribosomal RNA". It matches the Rfam family "Bacterial small subunit ribosomal RNA", at positions 28 to 507 of the family's 1533-position model. The record is from RNAcentral.
GAUGAACGCUGGCGGCGUGCCUAAUACAUGCAAGUCGAGCGAACGGACGAGAAGCUUGCUUCUCUGAUGUUAGCGGCGGACGGGUGAGUAACACGUGGAUAACCUACCUAUAAGACUGGGAUAACUUCGGGAAACCGGAGCUAAUACCGGAUAAUAUUUUGAACCGCAUGGUUCAAAAGUGAAAGACGGUCUUGCUGUCACUUAUAGAUGGAUCCGCGCUGCAUUAGCUAGUUGGUAAGGUAACGGCUUACCAAGGCAACGAUGCAUAGCCGACCUGAGAGGGUGAUCGGCCACACUGGAACUGAGACACGGUCCAGACUCCUACGGGAGGCAGCAGUAGGGAAUCUUCCGCAAUGGGCGAAAGCCUGACGGAGCAACGCCGCGUGAGUGAUGAAGGUCUUCGGAUCGUAAAACUCUGUCAUUAGGGAAGAACAUAUGUGUAAGUAACUGUGCACAUCUCGACGGUACCUAAUCAGAAAGCCACGGCUAACUACGUG